RNAcentral lists this long non-coding RNA (928 nucleotides) under Sorghum bicolor (sorghum). RNAcentral's name for it is "long non-coding RNA (SBIC_LNC005415)". Lineage: Eukaryota; Viridiplantae; Streptophyta; Magnoliopsida; Poales; Poaceae. The record is from RNAcentral.
GAGGGCAGCAAAAUUGUCCGUAAUCAAAUAAAUAUAUAAAUGUUCCAUAUAAAACAAAGUCAAAAUAAAGAGCAAAUUGCUAGAUCGAUGUUGUAUACGCAUACGCUAACAGCGCAACCGAAUGCAAAGCUUGAGAAAAGGUGCAGAAAUUAAACACCAGUGGAUUCGCAUACAUUGUCGCAUAUACAAAGUGAAAAACCGCAUGAAGUUUGUAUGCAUAUUAUUUUAUUGAAGACUCUAGUUUUUUUCUAACACUAGUUUUUUUUUUGAGAGUUUUUCUUUUUCUUUUUAGGAAUCCAAGUAGAGGAAGCAAAAUGGCCCAUGAACCGAGAGCGAGCCCGGUGCCGGCGGUGCGUGUACGUUAGGGGUGCCGGCCGGGAGCGGCGGCCCGCACUGGGCGAGAAGCCCAGGACCGGUGUAGGCUCGUAGCGUAGCACAACUCCGCUGAGUAGAGAAGCCCACGAGAUGAUUAUAGAGUUGCGGAAAUUUGAGAAAGGAUCAACAACGCCGAUGGCAAAAGCUCAGGACCUGUUUAGUUCCAUGCAUUGAGCGGUUAAAUAUAAAUAAAAUAAUAACUAAUUUUAUAAUUUGUCUGUAAUUUACGAAAUAAAUUUUUUGAAUGUAGUUACUCUAUAAUUAGACAACAACUAUUAAAUACAAAUGAAAGUACUACAGUAGCACCUUACAAAAAAUUUCACCAACUAAACAGCCCCUCAUUAUCCUCGAUCAUUCUCAUCACCAACUCGUAUAUAUAUAUAUAUAUGGCACUUGGCACCUCCUCUAAAAAAAACAUGUACAAGUACUUAUUACGUUCUCGUCACCUGCAACCGUAUCACGAUAACAUACAUAUAUACGCACGCGUGUUGCUGCCUGUGCUGUUGUGCUGGCAACUGUUUUGACAGUCAAAAAAAAAAAACGGAUGGGCGCC